This 495-nucleotide ribosomal RNA is filed under the name uncultured bacterium. RNAcentral describes it as "partial 16S ribosomal RNA". It matches the Rfam family "Bacterial small subunit ribosomal RNA", at positions 28 to 507 of the family's 1533-position model. The record is from RNAcentral.
GACGAACGCUGGCGGCGUGCCUAAUACAUGCAAGUCGAACGCUGAAGGAGGAGCUUGCUUCUCUGGAUGAGUUGCGAACGGGUGAGUAACGCGUAGGUAACCUGCCUGGUAGCGGGGGAUAACUAUUGGAAACGAUAGCUAAUACCGCAUAGUAGCAGUUGUUGCAUGACAACUGUUUGAAAGGUGCAAUUGCACCACUACCAGAUGGACCUGCGGUGUAUUAGCUAGUUGGUGGGGUAACGGCUCACCAAGGCGACGAUAGAUAGCCGACCUGGGAGGGGGAUCGGCCACCCUGGGACGGAGACACGGCCCAGACUCCUACGGGAGGCAGCAGUAGGGAAUCUUAGGCAAUAGACGGAAGUCUGACCGAGCAACGCCGCGCGAGUGAAGAAGGUUUUCGGAUCGUAAAGCUCUGUUGUAAGAGAAGAACGAGUGUGAGAGUGGAAAGUUCACACUGUGACGGUAUCUUAUCAGAAAGGGACGGCUAACUACGUG